GUUUCUUCAUUGUAUUAUGAUGUAUGAGAAUUCCUUGGGUCCACCUCAUCCUGCUCUUUGAGAGAGAAUUAAAUUUGUACUUUGAACAAAAAAAUAAAUACAUAAAAAUAAAUUUUUUGAGUUUUGUUUUAUGAUCCAGGAUAUAUGGACUAGCUUCAUCAGUGCUCCAGAUACAUUGAAAAGAAUGUGUAUUCUGCUGUUGGGUGGGCUGUUCUAUAAUUGUCAAUUAGGUCAAGUUGGUUGAGAGCGUUGCUCAAGUGUUCCACACCUUUACUGAUUUUCUGUGUACUUGUCAGUUACUGAGAGAGGGGAAUUGAAAUCUCUGACUCGAAUGCACUGAGCACAGGCCCUGACAUAUGGUAGCAAUGCAAUAAAUGUUUGUUACGUGAGUGAAUGGAUGAAAAAGCAAAAGAAUAAAGACUUUGCUCUUCACAUGGGUGACCUGGGACUUCCUCAUGACUCUUUAUCAGAGGAUUUAAGAUGUGAGGAGGUAGAGGUGGUUUGCACAGAGGAUCAUAUCUUCAAAGAUCUCUCAGACAAAGGGAAGCCUUUGGAAGCAGGGCCUGUGCACCCCCUUGUGUCACCUGGAUGGAAUGUGCUGCCAGCGUUACUUCUCUGCCAAAGAACAGACCUUCCCAAGGCUGAGGAGGAGGCAGCCCUUGCAUGGGACACCGUGACGGAAAUCAAAGCACAAGACAGUGUCGUUUGUCUUUAUCUGCUUAGGGAUUUUUCCUUACCUGUGAAGUGAUCUGGGCUUUCGAGUACAUUGUUAGAUAUGAUUCUCUUUUUAUAGUAGCCCAGCUUUGGUACAAUGCCAUUUUGUGUAAUUAAAAAUAUGUUUAACAGUA
Molecule: long non-coding RNA, 848 nt
Filed under: Equus caballus (horse)
Lineage: Eukaryota; Metazoa; Chordata; Mammalia; Perissodactyla; Equidae
Description: lncRNA (ENSECAG00000042384.2)
Source: RNAcentral